RNAcentral lists this ribosomal RNA (585 nucleotides) under uncultured Actinomycetes bacterium. Its description in RNAcentral is "bacterial SSU rRNA". It matches the Rfam family "Bacterial small subunit ribosomal RNA", at positions 833 to 1421 of the family's 1533-position model. The record is from RNAcentral. Lineage: Bacteria; Bacillati; Actinomycetota; Actinomycetes.
CACGGUUUGUGCGACGCAGCUAACGCAUUAAGCGCCCCGCCUGGGGAGUACGAUCGCAAGAUUAAAACUCAAAGGAAUUGACGGGGCCCCGCACAAGCAGCGGAGCAUGCGGCUUAAUUCGACGCAACGCGAAGAACCUUACCAAGGCUUGACAUAUACAGGAAUAUGGCAGAGAUGUCAUAGCCGCAAGGUCUGUAUACAGGUGGUGCAUGGUUGUCGUCAGCUCGUGUCGUGAGAUGUUGGGUUAAGUCCCGCAACGAGCGCAACCCUCGUUCUGUGUUGCCAGCAUUUAGUUGGGGACUCACAGGAGACUGCCGGGGUUAACUCGGAGGAAGGUGGGGAUGACGUCAAAUCAUCAUGCCCCUUAUGUCUUGGGCUGCACGCAUGCUACAAUGGCUGGUACAAACGGCUGCGAUACCGCAAGGUGGAGCGAAUCCGAUAAAGCCAGUCUCAGUUCGGAUUGGGGUCUGCAACUCGACCCCAUGAAGUCGGAGUUGCUAGUAAUCGUAGAUCAGCAACGCUACGGUGAAUACGUUCCCGGGGCUUGUACACACCGCCCGUCACAUCACGAAAGUCGGUAACACC